Molecule: ribosomal RNA, 424 nt
Filed under: uncultured bacterium
Lineage: Bacteria
Description: partial 16S ribosomal RNA
Rfam family: Bacterial small subunit ribosomal RNA
Source: RNAcentral
AAUUUGUGACAAUGGGCGCAAGCCUGAUCCAGCCAUGCCGCGUGAGUGAAGAAGGCAUUCGGUUUGUAAAGCACUUUUGCCGGGGAAGAAAAGGUUCUGGCUAAUACCCGGAACUGAUGACGGUACCUGAAGAAUACGCAUCGGAUAAUGACGUGCCAGCAGCCGCGGUAAUACGUAGGGUGCAAGCGUUAAUCGGAAUUACUGGGCGUAAAGCGUGCGCAGGCGGUUCGGAAAGAAGGAUGUGAAAUCACAGGGCUCAACCUUGGAACUGCAUUCUUAACUACCGAACUAGAGUAUGUCAGAGGGGGGUAGAAUUCCGCGUGUAGCAGUGAAAUGCGUAGAUAUGCGGAGGAAUACCGAUGGCGAAGGCAGCCCCCUGGGAUAAUACUGACGCUCAUGCACGAAAGCGUGGGUAGCAAACAGG